RNAcentral lists this ribosomal RNA (380 nucleotides) under uncultured eukaryote. RNAcentral describes it as "partial 18S ribosomal RNA". It matches the Rfam family "Eukaryotic small subunit ribosomal RNA", at positions 592 to 976 of the family's 1831-position model. The record is from RNAcentral.
CAAUAGCGUAUAUUAAAGUUGUUGCGGUUAAAAAGCUCGUAGUUGGAUUUCUGCUGAGGACGACCGGUCCGCCCUCUGGGUGAGCAUCUGGUUCGGCCUUGGCAUCUUCUUGGGGAACGUAGCUGCACUUGACUGUGUGGUGCGGUAUCCAGGACUUUUACUUUGAGGAAAUUAGAGUGUUUCAAGCAGGCGCACGCCUUGAAUACAUUAGCAUGGAAUAAUAAGAUAGGACCUCGGUUCUAUUUUGUUGGUUUCUAGAGCUGAGGUAAUGAUUAAUAGGGAUAGUUGGGGGCAUUCGUAUUUAACUGUCAGAGGCGAAAUUCUUGGAUUUGUUAAAGACGGACUACUGCGAAAGCAUUUGCCAAGGAUGUUUUCAUUGA